This 424-nucleotide ribosomal RNA is filed under the name uncultured bacterium. RNAcentral's name for it is "partial 16S ribosomal RNA". It matches the Rfam family "Bacterial small subunit ribosomal RNA", at positions 360 to 776 of the family's 1533-position model. The record is from RNAcentral.
AAUUUUGGACAAUGGGGGAAACCCUGAUCCAGCCAUCCCGCGUGUAUGAUGAAGGCCUUCGGGUUGUCAAGUACUUUUGGCAGAGAAGAAAAGGUAUCUCCUAAUACGAGAUACUGCUGACGGUAUCUGCAGAAUAAGCACCGGCUAACUACGUCCCAGCAGCCGCGGUAAUACGUAGGUGGCAAGCGUUAAUCGGAAUUACUGGGCGUAAAGGGUUUUAAGGCGUUCAGGAAAGAAGAAUAUAAAUUCCCAGGCCCCAACCUGGGACUGGCAUUUUUAACUGCCGAGCUAGAGUAUGUCAGAGGGGGGUAGAAUUCCACGUGUAGCAGUGAAAUGCGUAGAUAUGUGGAGGAAUACCGAUGGCGAAGGCAGCCCCCUGGGAUAAUACUGACGCUCAGACACGAAAGCGUGGGGAGCAAACAGG